This 492-nucleotide ribosomal RNA is filed under the name Aplastodiscus cavicola (Cruz's treefrog). Its description in RNAcentral is "partial small subunit ribosomal RNA". It matches the Rfam family "Bacterial small subunit ribosomal RNA", at positions 794 to 1522 of the family's 1533-position model. Lineage: Eukaryota; Metazoa; Chordata; Amphibia; Anura; Hylidae. The record is from RNAcentral.
GCUUAGCCUUAAACUCUUAAUUACACCACAAACGCCCGGGAACUACAAGCAAAGCUUGAAACCCAAAGGACUUGACGGUGCCCCACAUCCCCCUAGAGGAGCCUGUCCUACAAUCGAUAACCCCCGUUAAACCUCACCCUCUUUAGCACACUCAGUCUGUAUACCUCCGUCGUCAACUUACCACAUGAGUGACUUUUAGUAAGUUUAAUGUCCUUACUCGUCAACACGUCAGGUCAAGGUGCAACUAAUAAGAGGGGAAGAGAUGGGCUACACUCUCUAUUCUAGAAUAUACAGAGAACUAUUAUGAAAGCUAGUUCAAAGGUGGAUUUAGUAGUAAAAUGGGUCAGAGAGCCCCUUUUAACUCGGCACUGGGGUGCGUACACACCGCCCGUCACCCUCUUCGUAGCACUGGUUAAAGUAUAUAACCGAACUCCGCAUCGUAGAAGAGGUAAGUCGUAACAUGGUAAGUAUACCGGAAGGUGUGCUUGGAAU